This 245-nucleotide ribosomal RNA is filed under the name uncultured bacterium. Its description in RNAcentral is "partial 16S ribosomal RNA". It matches the Rfam family "Bacterial small subunit ribosomal RNA", at positions 524 to 768 of the family's 1533-position model. The record is from RNAcentral.
AACGUAGGAGGCUAGCGUUAUCCGGAUUUACUGGGCGUAAAGCGCGUGCAGGCGGUCAGUUAAGUUAGGCGUGAAAUCUCUCGGCUUAACCGGGAGGGGUCGCAUAAUACUGGCUGACUUGAGGGUAGGAGAGGGAAGCGGAAUUCCCGGUGUAGCGGUAAUAUGCGCAGAUAUCGGGAGGAACACCAGUGGCGAAGGCGGCUUCCUGGCCUGCUCCUGACGCUAAGACGCGAAAGCUAGGGGAG